RNAcentral lists this ribosomal RNA (458 nucleotides) under uncultured bacterium. RNAcentral's name for it is "bacterial SSU rRNA". It matches the Rfam family "Bacterial small subunit ribosomal RNA", at positions 328 to 802 of the family's 1533-position model. The record is from RNAcentral.
AUGAAACACUCCUACGGGAGGCAGCAGUGGGGAAUAUUGGACAAUGGGCGCAAGCCUGAUCCAGCCAUGCCGCGUGAGUGAUGAAGGCCCUAGGGUUGUAAAGCUCUUUCACCGGUGAAGAUAAUGACGGUAACCGGAGAAGAAGCCCCGGCUAACUUCGUGCCAGCAGCCGCGGUAAUACGAAGGGGGCUAGCGUUGUUCGGAAUUACUGGGCGUAAAGCGCACGUAGGCGGAUUGUUUAGUGAGGGGUGAAAUCCCAGGGCUCAACCCUGGAACUGCCUCUCAUACUGGCAAUCUCGAGUUCGAGAGAGGUGAGUGGAAUUCCGAGUGUAGAGGUGAAAUUCGUAGAUAUUCGGAGGAACACCAGUGGCGAAGGCGGCUCACUGGCUCGAUACUGACGCUGAGGUGCGAAAGCGUGGGGAGCAAACAGGAUUAGAAACCCCUGUAGUCCGAAGUUC